This 366-nucleotide unclassified non-coding RNA is filed under the name uncultured bacterium. Its description in RNAcentral is "contains 16S-23S intergenic spacer region". The record is from RNAcentral.
UCCCCGUUACCGAGGCAGUCUGAUUAGAAAAAUACAACUAAUCACGAGGGUUGCGCUCGUUGAAGGACUUAACCUAACAUCUCACGACACGAGCUGACGACGGCCAUGCAUCACCUGUCACUUGGUUCCUAAAAGGCACUCCUCUAUUUCUAGAGGAUUCCAAGGAUGUCAAGCCCAGGUAAGGUUCUUCGCGUAGCCUCGAAUUAAACCACACGCUCCACCGCUUGUGCGGGUCCCCGUCAAUUCCUUUGAGUUUUAGCCUUGCGGCCGUACUCCCCAGGCGGGAUGCUUAACGCGUUAGCUUCGCUACUCAAAAGGGUCGAUACUCUCGAGCAGCUAGCAUCCAUCGUUUACGGCGUGGACUAC